UACAUGACUCUCGGCAAUGGAUAUCUUGGCUCUCGCAUCGAUGAAGAGCGCAGCGAAAUGCGAUACGUGGUGCGAAUUGCAGAAUCCCGCGAAC
This 94-nucleotide ribosomal RNA is filed under the name Pabstia jugosa. Its description in RNAcentral is "5.8S ribosomal RNA". It matches the Rfam family "5.8S ribosomal RNA", at positions 1 to 89 of the family's 154-position model. Rfam says of the family: 5.8S ribosomal RNA (5.8S rRNA) is a component of the large subunit of the eukaryotic ribosome. The record is from RNAcentral. Lineage: Eukaryota; Viridiplantae; Streptophyta; Magnoliopsida; Asparagales; Orchidaceae. RNAcentral also lists the same sequence under 1 other name.